AUCACUACAUCGUGCAUGAUUUUCCUCUUUCCUUUUCAGACUAUAACAAUUUUUUUUUUCUUUCAGCUUGCAAGCAAGUGUGCCCUGAGCCAAAAUGUCCUCCUCCACAAGUGUGUGUACCAGUGCCUGUGUGCCCUGAACCGAAAUGUCCUCCUCCUCAAGUGCAAUGUAAACCAGUCCCACAAUGUCAGCAACAACACGGAAAGUAAUGCAUGAAAGAUAGAAAUGCCACAAGAUACAUACAUAAUAUGAAGAGAAUCUCUGCAUGGCUUUUAUUUAAGAGCGCUUAAUACAUUCUACUACAUGGAAAUGUAAUGACAAUAAUACAUUAUUAAAGGCUAUGCAAAAAUA
This is a long non-coding RNA of Bufo gargarizans (Asiatic toad), 351 nucleotides long. RefSeq lists it as uncharacterized. The transcript is spliced from 3 exons. The record is from RefSeq and is a predicted model, not a curated record. NCBI's taxonomy places the organism in Eukaryota, Metazoa, Chordata, Amphibia, Anura, Bufonidae.